Molecule: long non-coding RNA, 343 nt
Organism: Oncorhynchus tshawytscha (Chinook salmon)
Lineage: Eukaryota; Metazoa; Chordata; Actinopteri; Salmoniformes; Salmonidae
Source: Ensembl
UGUGUAGGAUCCUUUAGGGUUAAAGUAGUGGGAUGGUGUAGGAUCCUUUAGGGUUAAAGUAGUGGGAUGGUGUUGGAUCCUUUAGGGUUAAAGUAGUGGGAUGGUGUUGGAUCCUUUAGGGUUAAAGUAGUGGGAUGGUGUAGGAUCCUUUAGGGUUAAAGUAGUGGGAUGGUGUUGGAUCCUUUAGGGUUAAAGUAGUGGGAUGGUGUAGGAUCCUUUAGGGUUAAAGUAGUGGGCUGGGAUGGUGUAGGAUCCUUUAGGGUUAAAGUAGUGGGAUGGUGUAGGAUCCUUUAGGGUUAAAGUAGUGGGAUGGUGUAGGAUCCUUUAGGGUUAAAGUAGUGGG